RNAcentral lists this ribosomal RNA (450 nucleotides) under uncultured Rhizobium sp. Its description in RNAcentral is "bacterial SSU rRNA". It matches the Rfam family "Bacterial small subunit ribosomal RNA", at positions 9 to 507 of the family's 1533-position model. The record is from RNAcentral. Lineage: Bacteria; Pseudomonadati; Pseudomonadota; Alphaproteobacteria; Hyphomicrobiales; Rhizobiaceae.
GAGUUUGAUCCUGGCUCAGAACGAACGCUGGCGGCAGGCUUAACACAUGCAAGUCGAACGCUCCGCAAGGAGAGUGGCAGACGGGUGAGUAACGCGUGGGAAUCUACCCAACCCUGCGGAAUAGCUCUGGGAAACUGGAAUUAAUACCGCAUACGCCCUACGGGGGAAAGAUUUAUCGGGGAUGGAUGAGCCCGCGUUGGAUUAGCUAGUUGGUGGGGUAAAGGCCUACCAAGGCGACGAUCCAUAGCUGGUCUGAGAGGAUGAUCAGCCACAUUGGGACUGAGACACGGCCCAAACUCCUACGGGAGGCAGCAGUGGGGAAUAUUGGACAAUGGGCGCAAGCCUGAUCCAGCCAUGCCGCGUGAGUGAUGAAGGCCUUAGGGUUGUAAAGCUCUUUCACCGGAGAAGGUAAUGACGGUAUCCGGAGAAGAAGCCCCGGCUAACUUCGUG